Long non-coding RNA from Lates calcarifer (barramundi perch), 817 nucleotides. RefSeq lists it as uncharacterized. Lineage: Eukaryota; Metazoa; Chordata; Actinopteri; Centropomidae. The transcript is spliced from 4 exons. The record is from RefSeq and is a predicted model, not a curated record.
GCAAUUAAUCGCAGCAGUUCCAAAGCUUUACACCCCUUGCCAAUUGGCGUUUUUCUGUCUGUUGGCUUGCAUGUGUUGCCAUUGGCCGCGUCGAUCGUGCGCCAUCGUUGAGUAUGACCUGGGGAGGAGCGCAGAGAGGCAGAGAAAGGAAGUUGGGAAACAGAUUUAAACCAACAUUUGAACUGUUGUCUCGGUUUGUCAGUACUUUGAGAAAACUUAAUUACCGAAGAAGUCUGGAUCGUAAAACAAGCUUUGAAGCUGCUUCUUUGUCAAACGCGAGUGAGACUGGACGCUGAACACACCUGGCGCGAAGGUCUACUGUUCAGCUGCAGCAGCUUGGACAGAGACUCCAACAUCACCUUACAGACCAACAGGUGUCACCACUUCGUCCACGAUCGCCGAGACAUCAUCCAUGAUCACAUAGACAUUGUCCAUGAUCGAAGAGACAUUGUACAACAAAGAAGCUCUUUGAGACCAGGACUGAGGCCUCCAGGAGGAGAAGACAACAGCAGCCAAAUACCUGGAGGGACGAAAGAAAACAACACGCUGUUAAUUAGAUGAAAGACCUCCACCAUCUGACUGCUGUAAACAGUGCUGGUUUCCUGUUGUUCAAGUUUUGUUAGUCCUGGACACAUUUUCCAAAGACAGAUAAGUCUUUAUUAAACACCUGUGAGAACAUUCAACAAUGAUACAACUAUUUAAUUAUUGUAUCACAAGCAGUUAAAUGAUCACAAAGAUGCCUAGUUGACGUUUUCAUCUUCGGAAAAUGUGCUCAUCACUACAUUAACCCUAACCAGCUCUAACAAGUGUUUCCUUG